UUAAGUAGUUUGAGUCUUUGAAGGUUCUACUAACAACAAAUUAAAAAAUGGAUAGAGGAAUAGUACCAUGAAAAAAGUUAUAACUCAAAUCUAGAUAAACGAGUGAAGACAAAUUUCCAAUUUCGUGUGGGAUGCUGCCUUCGAGAUACAUAUGAGAGAUAUCUAAUUCAGUCACCCUGCUACGACGUGAAUCACAAGUAACUCCUAUCCACGUGCAAAACGAGGUUCCACUGCUCCAAUUAUUUUUCAACAUAUUGUAAGGAUCUGAAGUGAUGUGGGAUUUGAAGGCAAGAAGUAUAUAUUCAUCACUUUUGAUUUGAGUUAUGUUGUGUGCAGCAGAGAGGCUAAGACAUGAAAACAAUAAGAGAAGCGAAAGAAGGGAAAAUGGGGAAAAUGCAUCCAUAUUGUGAGUGCUAAUUGUGUGAGAAAACAAGAAGCCUACAAAUGUCAUUUAUAUUCAAAUCUAAAACACUUCUUGUGAGCCUAGAGUUUUGGUGACUGAGAAUUGCAUAAUGUAAAUUUUCCACAAAUUUUGGAAGUCAAUGCAAGUCAUUAUUUUGUCUCGACCCAAAAUUAAUUGACCUAGUCUUCUUUAUGCUCUCAAUAUUGGAGUGUGAUUUGGGCAAAGAAGAAAACUCAUGAAAUUUCAUGUAACGGAAAUAUUAGAGUCUGUUUUCUUUUUUCUUUUCUUGAGAAAAUAUUACACAACAUUUUAAAAAAAAAUUAUUCCACCUCUUUUUGAAGCUGAGAUGUUUGAUUUGUGGUGCAAUAUCUCUCUCUUGUUUGAGUUGGGGGAAUUGUGAUUCGUAAUCGGAUCUCUCAUACCUAUGGAAUGAAAAAUGAAUAAUUAAAUUUCUUAAUUAUAAACAAAUUAUUGGGGAGCCCACAAUGACAUUUUCUACAUGGAAAAUUGCUUUCAAUUAGUAUUUUUUUUAAUGUGAUAAUUUUCAAAAAUUGAUUGAAAGGGAAAUAUAAUUGUUACUUACACGACGGGCACUAGACUUUGACUUAACCAUAAGACUAAAUGUGUAUCACAUGUAUUUUUGGAGGUUUAUAAUUUUCAGAAAUUGAUUGAAAAGGAUAUAUAAUUGUUUCCAUUUGAAAAAGAGAUUUAAGCAAAAGACCAAACGUGCAUCACAUAUUUUUUUAUCUAUUCCCAUCCAUCCAUCCGUGAGUGAUAAGAUUUUGAGUUGUAUGGAAUUGACUGUAGUCAAGCAUUUUAUAAUUUGAUUAAUAGUGUAUAACUUUAUUAUUAUUAUCAAGUAAAGUCCAAGACUAAUUUAUAAUUAAUUAUAAUUGAGUGGUGAUUUAAUUGCGUAUUGAAGAUUCAUGUAGAAAUUAAAUACAAUGUACUAGUGAUGUUAAAACCACCAACGAACCCAUCUAUAGUAUAUAAAAGAAGAGUUUUCUCCCUCUAUUUUUUUCCUCUCUUCUUCCAUUAAAAUUUUAAAUAUUUUUUUCUUUUUACCUUUUUAUAUUGUAAUUAUUUUCUAAAUGUCAUCAAAUUUGAUCAUGAAAAAAUAAUCAAUAUGUAUCAUAAAUUUAAUUUUGUACAAAAAUCAUCAAAAAUGAAUUUAAAAUGAAUAAGUUAUGAAAAUUUAAAAUAUUUUAUUUUAUUUCUCUUCAUUCAAAAUUUAUAGCUUUUUUAUUUAUUAUGAUGAACAACAUAUGUUUACUGAAAAUUUUUAUUAUCGAAUAAUUUUUUAAAUUUAUUUAUUAACUAUAAUUAGCAUUACACUUUGUAUAAAUUGAAUAUUUACAUUUUUAAAUUCAGGAUUUUAUUGAGUAAUUGAUGUGAAUUAUUACAUUUUACUAAAACAUAUUUUGUAUUUGUUUAUAUAUUUUUUUUAUAUGUAUUUAUUUUAUUUAAAUUUAUCGUUUAAUUUCGAUAUCGAUCGUGCAUCACACGAAUGAGCAUAUACUAGUUGCAUCGCCAAUGAGGCUUAGCUCAAGUGGCAAAAUUGAGGUACUCAAUGACUCUCCUUUAUGAGAUGUAUUGGGUUCAAUCCCGCCGGCGUGCGAAUAGUUUUCCAGUUUUUCUCAACUUUAUGUAGGUAGACGUCAUGCCUUCGUGCAUAAUAAAUAAUUUUAGAAAAUAGAGACACGAAUCGAACACAGUGUAUGUAAAUUUAUCAUCAAACACAGAUUUCGACUUCGACAUUUAAUGCUCAAACUAUAUAUAUUAAAUUUUUCCAAAUUUUUCACACGCCCAAAGUUCUAUGGCCCAGUCCAGUUAAGAAAAUGGGUCAACUCGUUUUGGACAACACUUUAUGCUCAAAUUUUUAAUUUUUAAUAGUGUAUUUCUUCAAAUUUGCAUUCAAUUUAUUUUAGUUGCAAAUUUAUCAUUAAAAAAUCCAUAAAUCUCAUCGAAUAACAUAGGAUUAAUUUUCUUGUGCAUAAAAUUAAAAUAAUCACCCAACUUAACAAUGCUAUCCCUUCAUCAAACUAGCUAACUCCUCUAAUCUCUAUUGUCCCCAUUCACAUAUUUCUAGAAACUUUUUCUAGGUUAGUUGAAUUUUGAAAAAAAAAAUCUAUAGAUUGCCUUGAGACUCUACAAGUUGAAAAUGAUGAGUAGUUAAAAAAAUGUGUGUUUAUUAUAUACUAUUAGUCAUUAACUUAACACAUAUCCCAACUAUAAACUUAACUUGUGUUUAAUUUAUUUAGUCAAUACAAUAUUAAUUGAAUCUAUUUAUAUAAGAAAAGAAACUCAUAAAUUUCAUUAACCGAAUUCUUCCGAAGAAGUCUUGCGGGAGAUAACCUCUUAAUUUUCUGAAAAUUGGAUAUGACUUUAAAGGGACAAAUGCCCAUAACAGCAAAAAUAAAAAAUGGAAAAAAAAAUUUUAAAAAGUACAAUGUAGAGAAUAUAAUAAAAAUAACUAAAUUCUAUUUUUAUUUAAAAAAAUAAAAUAAAUAAAUCAAGAUUUUCCUGCAUAGAUUUAUUGAAAAAUUAAACAAGAAUAAAUUUAGUAAUUUGAUAUCAUUGUUUCAAAUAACAAGACUUUUAAGUGCAGUUCCUAACUUCCUAAUGGUUGAUCCUCUCUCUCUCACACACACACAUAAUCACACACAUUUCCUCUCCAGUAAGAAAACAUCUCUCUCUUUCUCUCUCACUCUCACACACACGUAAUCACACAUUUAAUUUCCUCUCCCGUAAGCAAACAUUAAACCAAAUUGUCAGAAUAUAUUUUGACCUAUCACUCAAAUUAUAUACUCUUACAGUCUUACUUCUCCCUUUUUUUAGGGCGAAAAAUGAUGAAACAUAUAUAUUUUCGUAUUUAGGGUGGAUAAUUUUUUUUAGCAAUCUUUUUUCACUCCAAUUAGUGAUAAUAUUUUCCCACAAUUUUCCAUCCUAUAAUAUGAGAUAAAAAAUGCUAAAAUUUCCAAUACGUUCUUAUUCCUCUUUUUCUUAGUUCCUACAUUGGUUGUCACUUCUCGACACUAAGUAAAAAUACUCCCUCCGUCCCAUAUAUAUAGGCUUGUUUUCCUUUUUCGGAUGUCCCAUUUAUAUAGGCCUAUUUCUAUAAAAAGUAAUGUUUUUUUAUUCAUUUACUAUUAUAUUCCUAUUUAAUUCUUUAAUUUACUCUAACUUUAAUAUAUCAUUGAAUAAUAAAUAUGGACAUAUUAGGAAGUUUACUUAUAUAUUUUCAUUUCCAAUGAUUUUUCUUAAUCUUUGUGAAAAUCUCAAUCAGCCUAUGUAUAUGGGCCGGAGGGAGUAUAAUCCAAUGUUUUUUACCAAGUCCAAAAAACGACUUAUGUGAUUCUGAACAAUCUCUCUCUCUCUUAAAGGCCUGGUUCUGAAUUCCAUUCAGUCAGAAUGCCCUUCCUGAUCACACAUUUAAUGGCAGUAUAUACAUUUAUUCUGUCAGAUAUUUGGAUACAUUUUUUUCUAGUUAACUCACUUAAUGAGCUCACCAGCUACUGAGCUGAGUAUGAUCAACAUCUCGAGAUCUAGGAGCUCGACUCGUUUACAGCCCUAACUGCAAUUCAUUUCAAUUUUGUAAGGAAUAAUUAUUUUUACCUUUUUUUGGAAUACAUUAGCCUUUCUUGCAAAGAUUACAAACAACCUAAACGACCUAUUUUCAGGUGUGAUUUAUGAUAACUUGAAAAAAGCUUCUAUAGUAACUCCAUCUCUUAACUGAGUGAAAAGACUCAUCUCGUACCUUCUUCACCGUCGUUGGCUCGUCGGGUGUCGGCUGCAUCCUCCUCCGUUUCCGCCUGCACCACGGCCUUCCUCUUGCUUCCCCUGGUGCCGGAGUACUUGGCAAACGCUGCCUUCAGGGCAGAUCUUACGCUGAUCUCUUCUUCUUUCUUAUGCUCUCUGCUCGUCUCUUGAUUCUCCUUAACUUCCUCGUUUCUUUCACUUACAGACGCGAUAGGAUUUUCAGCAACGGGCGCAGCAGGGUUAGGAACUGCGCGCUUGAACGGCUCAUGGAAAGUAUCGUACAAGCGUCUGACCUGUCGUAGAAAAAAAUGAUGAUUAUCUAAAGACAUGCUCUAGAUAACUGAAACUGCAAUACUAUGAUUGUGUAUCAGAUUUGGACCCAGCAUUGUGCAGGAACCGCAACAAACACAUUACCUACCUUUCUUUCUCCUAUGCCCGGGCAACGGGCAAGAUCUUCCAUUGAUGCGUCCAUGAUAUUGGAAAGAGACUAAAUUUGGUAAAAUUCGAAGUCAGUGCACAAGAACAAAAUCAGUAACCAAUAGAAUCAAGUGCAUAACUAAAAAACCAGAGCCUUACCCCGAAUGUAGACCCAAGAGUAACAACAUCUGUCUUGUUAACAUGCCGGAUUGAUGUGAGUGCAUGAUUUAACUAUAACAGAACAGGAAAUUAGUAUCGGUUAUAUUAUGUUAAUCAGCAGGAAAUAGUUUGUCGAAUGUCAUAAGCUUCCUAACUACGAAAGCUAAUAAACUAUCAAUGAAAUGAGCCAUACCCGUGAAAUGUAGUCCAUAUCCAUCUGUCCCUGAAUGAGAUCGGCAGGUUUAUUUUCAUAAACUUUAAUGGUCUCCAGGUACCGACCACACUCUUCCAAGCUAAAUAAAGAAAAGGAAAAAACCAGUCGGGUAACGUGAAAAAAAUUACAUAAGAAAGGGUAAAAAGAAGGGGGCAAGGGCAUUAGCAGUUUUCGAGUUUCAAAAACCAAUUUCUUCAAUGACACAUUAUUUCUUCAGAUUGAAUGGUUUGCCUACAACACAACCAACAUCCUACAUUAACCACUCUAAAGCAAAAAAGCAUUCUCAUAAUUAUAUAUAGAGAGAGGGAGAUAGAGACCUUGGAUAACAAAUACAAGUCACCAAUUUAUAUGCCGAUAGAGGUUAAAAAAUGCAUUAUAUCAAAUUUUUUUAACUGGCUAAAGAUCACAUUUACAAAAAUAAAAGAAAAAUGCAGUGUGCUAACCCAAGCAUAUAAAAACUGUAGUCUGUAGGUUAACAUAAUGACCAGGUAAUAAUGUUUAGUCAUUUUGAGUCCACAUAACGAAUUACACAUCAACAAUGAGUUUGGCAUAUGCUUAUUAUUGAUUGAACAUAUUGGUAACAGUGCACAACAAAAGUAACUCACCUGUCUAUGGCUUACGAUGAUGGCAUUCCGAUUUGCACCAGCUGAUGAAACUGAAGUGGAUGGAGCUUCAGAAUGAAUGGUUUGCCUAGAAGAUGACAAAAAUAGCUCUUGAUGUAACCAACAUCCUACAUGAACCACUCUAAAGCAAAAAAGCGUUCUCAUAAUUAUACAUAGAUAUAUAGAGACCUUGGAUGGGAUCCUUGAGAGGAUGAAGGGGCAUCUUUGGAGGACUGAGCCACUGGUGCAGACGGCGGGGUGGUGUAAAAUUCAGUGUUUUUGAUAAAAUUGAAAGCUUGAGAAAAGGAGGAGGAAGGCUUGAAUAAAGACUGCGACUUAGGUUGGGCGCUCUCAACCACCUCUUCAUAUGAAGGUAUUUUCACAACAAAUGAUGCAUUAUUCUGUUUCUGCUGCUCAGGAUCACCUCUGUUUUCCAUCUUCACAACUCACUCUCCUAAUUCACCUUUCCAAAAUCCCUCCUUUCUACUUCCUUCAUCAGUUUAAAUCAAAUUUAACAUUAUAAUUUUACCCUACCUUCAGAACAUUCAAUAAACACAUACAACCAAAUCAAUUCAGUAAAAAUUCAGCCUUCACUACAGAAAAUUCUACCGAAUUCUUCCGAAGAAGUCUUACGGGACAAAUCAAAUCCAUGAAUUACAGCAAAUUAACAACGUAAUUUGUUUCAGAAAGUGGUCGCAUAUAAAUCGACCUAAUUUAGAUGAAGAAGGAGAAGUACCUCGAAUGGAAGAGCAGAAGUGAUGGCGGAACAAUUUAGCCGGAACGGAUGAUGCGCACAGCGGCGGCGGCGGCGGAGGCGGCUUGCUUACCGAUGCUCCAGACGGCGGCGGAGAAACGCGGCCAAGGAGAGAAUUGGGAGAAACAAUAUUAAAUAUCAACUGUAAAACUAUUCCAACUUAUCUUGGAUCAAAACGUAUGAAGACUGAAGUAUUAAAAAAGUAAUUUCUACAGUGUUUCACAUACUGAAAAAAUUGUUUGAAGAUAUAUUUGCAUUGUUUCUUGUGGUUUGGUUAGAGUAAUUAGUCAAAGUCCAUAUAUAAUUUACCAUCAACUUGAAAAAAGUGUUACAAUUAGGAUAUUAUUGAGCAUAUUAAUUAACUUCAUAAAACAACAAUCUGAUGUCUGGAAAAGAACAAAAAAGCAAGAAAGAAAAGCUCAUAAUAUAUAUUUGUCUUGAAUCAACUUCUCCUCUGUGUUGGAGUAGCUCUCUUCCUUGUCUUCUUCUUCUUCUUGUUCUUGUUGUAUGUAUAUCCAACACCAAAAAAGAAUUCCACCAACCAUCUUGGCCUUCCAAAUCGAAUAAUCCAACAACCAAUUCCAAUUCCAACUAUGAUUCCACUUCCAUAUCCCAUCACCACACUUCUCCAUCCAAAUCCAUCUAUAAAUCCAUACUCAUCAUCUUCGUCAUCUUGUUCUUCUGGCUGCAUCCGCUGCCCAUUCUCCUCGUUGCAUUUUCUCGUCAACGGAAAUCCACACAAUCUCAAGUUUCCCACAUAUGAAUCAUUCUCGAAUCAUUCAUUGACAGGUUUAAUUUCGCAAGAAAUGUCAACCUCGUCAAUUCACUUGGAAUUCCUCCGUCCAAUUUGUUCGAUGACAAGUCCAAUGAUUCAAGCACACUUAUAUUUCCAAGAGAUGCAGGUAUGUGUCCCAUGAGAUUAUUGUGCGACAAAUUCAAGUAUCUCAGAGAAUUCAGAUUACCUAUGGAAUCUGGAAUACUACCAGAGAAAUUGUUGGAGGAUAAGUCAAUGGUUGUAAAGGUUUUCAACAAUCUCUUCAAUAACUGAUCCAAACCUUUCAAGGUAGUUCUCAUCUCGAAAAAACGAGCUUGAAAUGCGUAAUCAUCACUUGGUGUUUGAUUUUCCUUCACAUCCAUCAUUGCUCUGAAACUCUUGAAAUAUCUUUGAGGUAGAGAGCCCACAAAUGCAUUCCUCGAUAUAUCUAAAACUUGCAACUUAGAAAACGGAAGGUUGCUUCGUGAAGGCAGCAGCAUGUUACCUUCAAACUUAUUAGACUUCAAGACGAGCACUCGAAGCUCAGGAAGAGCUUCCAUCCAAAACGGAAAUUUGUCUCGUAUUCUAUUAUUUCCAACAUCGAGGCCCCUCAGACUUUUGCAAUUGAUUAAGGAUUUCGGUAAUCUUCUUUGCAAUUUAUUGCCACUCAAAUUGAUGGACUGAAGACUACACCCUUUGAUAAAUAUUGAUGGAAUGGGGCCACUAAAGUUAUUUGCAUUUAAAUGAAAUAUGGACAACGAUUUGCUCAAGUUUCGAAAGCAUUGUGGAACUGUCCCUUCCAAACUGUUAUUUGAGAGUAGAAGAAGCUGAAGGGAUGUCAAGUUGCAGAUGGAGGAUGGAAGCUCACCAUUUAAUUUGUUGGAAGAGAGCGAUAAAUACUUCAGAUUUGUUAGAUUCCCAAUGGUGGAUGGUAUUGGACCUGGAAGUUUGAGAAGUCAACAUAAAUAUUGCUUUAGAGACAAUUUGGAUACAUAAAAAAACAUGGCAAUGAAGAAAUACAUUUUAUGCACAUGAAUUAUUUUGAUAGAAAUUAAAUUACCUCUUCUAUUCUUAUAUCACCCACGCAUGUCUCAUAUAUUCAAUGGCAUCUUAAUUUAAUAUAGCAUUCGCUAACAUUGAUCCUUAAAAUUAAUGGAGUUACAAUAUGGCUGGAAACAACAAAUCCAACUAUUGUUAAAGUAUUUAGUUAAUUAAUCACGAGUUAAUUAAAUGAGAACAACCUAGCAAGUUGAGAAAUCAAAGAUUAAUUCAAAAUUAGAUAAGUCAUCCUUUUCUAUCUCAUAUUGCAGAUGGAGUGACAAAGGAAUUAGACAAAUCGCAUAUCUUAUAAGAACACACGUUAGGCAAAUUUCCUUGCAAUUUAUUAACACUCAAAUUGUUAGACUCAAAAAUACGCCCUCUCAUAAAUAUUGAUGGAAUGGGGCCACUAAAGUGAUUUGCAUUUAGAUGAAAUAUGUCUAAAGAUUUCCAAACUGUUAUUUGAGAAAAUAAGAAUUUGAAGGGAUGUCAUGUUGCACAUGGAGAAUGGAAGCUCACCAUUUAAUUUGUUGGAAGAGAGUUGUAGCAACCGCAAAUUGGAUAGAUUCCCAAUGGUGGAUGGUAUUGGACCUAAACAUUAAAGAACCCUUCGUUUCAAUCGCUUUAAAGAUAGAGAUGUAAAGCACUCAGAUCUUUUGACACAAAUUAGCUAAGUCAUACAAUUCGAAAAAAAGUGUUUUCUAUUUUUUUUUUUUUAAAUAUUCAUUCGUGUUCUAUUUCAUAUUGUGCAUGCAUUGGCAAAGGAAUUAGACAAAUCGCAUAUCUAAUCUUACCAAAUGUAAAAUAUUAAAAAGANNNNNNNNNNNNNNNNNNNNNNNNNNNNNNNNNNNNNNNNNNNNNNNNNNNNNNNNNNNNNNNNNNNNNNNNNNNNNNNNNNNNNNNNNNNNNNNNNNNNNNNNNNNNNNNNNNNNNNNNNNNNNNNNNNNNNNNNNNNNNNNNNNNNNNNNNNNAGAUAAUUUGAAAUAUCUUUUCAACAAAUGUAUCUAAAACCAACAAAUUAGGAAAUGGACGACAGAUACUUUAUGUAAUUGAACUAAAGAUGGCCACAGAUUUGCUAAAGUUUUCAUAGCAUUGUGGAAUUUCUUAUUCCCAAGAUAUAUACAUAAUCAAUCUCUUUGAUUGCCAAGUCGUAAAAGAAUCGACCACAAAAAUAAUAAGUAUUAGAACACUAUAUUUAAUGGUUCGUUUUUUGCAGUUUGAAUACAUUAUUAGGUGAAUAUUAAAUGGUAAUUGUUCAAUCCAAAUAAUUUUGACUCUGUUCAAUUUAGUCUUGGCAAUGGUUCAAUUAAGUGGGGCCUCUGAUAUUUACAAAUUGGUUUUCAGUUGUUAAAAUAAAAUUAAAAAGUCAUUUUUUUUAUCAAAGCAUAUAUACGGUUUAUUGCUAAAACAUUAAUGUACAAGAAUUUAUAUCUAACCUAUUCAGUGUAGAGUCAUAUAUAGUUAAUCUAACCAAUCCAAAAUCAUAAUUAGUAUUAGAAAAUUAGUUAGUGAUGUGCUUUUUCUAAUUAUAUGAAAGUGAAUAUAAAUUGUCAUAUGGGCUAAUUUUGACUCCAUCAUAUCCCGCCCAGUCACCCCACGCCCAUCCAUGCAUAAUGUUUAAAGAGCAAAAAAUAGGACCAAAAAUUGAAGAUAAAUAUGAUUAACUCUUGGCUUAUUAGAAAUAACAAUAAAGGUAUAAAUACCUAAAUAGCUUCGGCAUAGAUUUUAAGAAUUUUGUUAAGUGUAUUUUGACCAUAUUUUACGGACUCCAGAUGAAAUCAACUUAGAUAAUUGCAUUAUAAUGUGAGUGGAGAAAUGGUCCACAUUGAUUGUGAUGUUUAAUGAGAGGAUUAUUUAUAAAUGGACUAUGCAUGUUUUUAUGGGACGGAACAAAAAUAAAAACUAUGCAUGUUUUUACUGUUAGAUUGAGCAUCUGAAUAAAGAAUCAGUAUUAAUAAAGUUGAAAGUAAAAUGAGAAAAGAAUAAUUAAAUUGCUUAGCUAUAUAUACAUCAUGUUACCGAGGAACUGCAUGCAGAACCUCAUUAGAGGCAAGAACAACCUUUAAAUUUCUUUGUUUAAUAUUGUAACUUUAUAAAAGCAAAUAAAAAUAAUUAUUAUAUUUCUUAACUAUAAAAAAAUUAUUGGGGAGCCCUAUGGCAUCUUCUAUAUGGAAAAUUGCUUUUAAUUAUUUUCCUUGGACGUGAUGAUUUUCAAAAAUCGAUUGAAAGGGAAAUAUAAUAUUCAUCUCAUACACGACGGGCAAUAGACUAUGACUUAAGCAUAAAACUAAAUGUGUAUCACGUAUUUUUUUCAAUUCCCAUGGUUAGUUAUGUACGAUAUAUAUACCAAACUCUUUCACUAAAGUUUUGGCUUAAAGAGUAGUGCAGACAUACCAUUUAAAGAGGCGCUGCUGAGGUCUAGUUGACGGAGACUUGUGAUGUUCAAAAUUUGUCUUGGAAAUGGUCCACUAAGAUUGUUGUAACUCAUCCUUAAUAACUCUAGAUUAUUAAGAUUACCAAUCUCUUUUGGAAUACCACCUGCGAAAUUGUGUUAAAUCAUGAAAGCUCGAUCUGAAUCAGGCAAAAACAUAUAUUACAAAUAGUAUGACCUCCAAAAUCAUAAGUAUUAGUAGAAAAAUAGUUAGUGAUGUGCUUUUCCUAAUUAUAUGAAAGUGAAUAUAUCAUAUGGGAUAAAUUGUAAACAAUUCCAUUUAGAUCGAUGCAAAUUGAGUCAAUAAUAGAGAGAGAGAGAGAGAAAGAGAUAAUAAUAAUAAUAAUAAUAAUAAUAAUAAUAAUAAUAAUAAUAAUAAUAAUAAUAAUAAUAAUAAUAAUAAUAAUAAUAAUAAUAAUAAUAAUAAUAAUAAUAAUAAUAAUAAUAAAGUCCACCUGUGAAAUUGAGCCCACCAACAGUAAUGCAUGAGCAAUAGUAUUAAUUAAGUUAAGUGGUCUCUCUGAUAUUUACGAAUUGGUUAUAAGUUGUUAACAUAAAAUUAAAAAGUCAUUUAUUUAAUCAAAGCAUACGGUUAAUUUAUUGCUAAUUAAGGUUAAUUAUCCUUUGUUCACUGACAAUCAUAUUAAUGUUAAACAGUAAAUUGUAAACCGAGUCAAAGCAGUAAUAUACAAUGUUCAAAGAACAGAAAAUAGGACAGAAAAGUGACGAUAAAUAUGAUUAACAAUUGGCUUAUUAGAAAUAACAAUAAAGAAAGAGUAAUGACAUACCUGCAGUUAAAGAGAUGUUGGCAAUGUUUAAUUCACGAAGAGUCGUGACAUUCCAAAGUUGUCUUGGUAAUCGUCCACUGAGAUUGUUGUCGCUCAUGCUCAAUACCUCUAAAUAAUUAAGAUAACCAAUCUCUUUCGGAAUAUCACCUGUGAAAUAAGUAAUCGGGUCUCUUAGGCUCAUGGAAUGACAAAUGAAUAAUUAAAUCUCUUAACUAUAAAAAAAAUUAAUGGCAUCUUCUAUACGGAAAAUUGCUUUCAAUUAUUUUUCUUGGAUGCAAUAAUUUUCAGAGUCAGGGGAUUUUUUAGGACAAUAACUUAUGUUGAUUUGGAAAUUAGGACAAAAACUUUUGAAUUUGUAAAAAUAGGACACUAAUUUUUUUUAGAGUAAAAAUAGGACACUAAUUAAUAAGCGUCGUAAAAAUAUGACAUUUCUCGGCUGAUAAUUGGCCGAAAAAUGUCAUGUGGAUGCAACACUUAUUAAUUAGUGUCCUAUUUUACUCUUAAAAAAAAAAGUAGUGUCCUAUUUUUACAAGUCCGAAAGUUAUUGUCCUAAUUUCCAAAUCAAUCUAAGUUACUGUCCUAAAAAACCCUCGAACUCUAAUUUUCAAAAAUCGAUUGAGAGGGAAAUAUAAUCAUCUCUUACACGACGGGCAAUAGACUUUGACUUAAGCAUAAGACUAAAUGUGUAUCACAUAUUUUUUCUAUUUCUCAUGGUUAGUUAUGAUAUACCAAACUCUUUCACUAAAGUUUUGGCUUAAAGAGUAGUGCAGACAUACCAUUUAAAGAGGUGCUGCUGAGGUAUAGUUGACGGAGACUUGUGAUGUUCAAAAUUUGUCUUGGAAAUGGUCCACUAAGAUUGUUGUAACUCAUGCUUAAUAUCUCUAGAUUAUUAAGAUUACCAAUCUCUUUUGGAAUACCACCUGUGAAAUUGUGUUAAUUCAUAAAAGCUCGAUCUGAAUCAGGCAUAAAGAUAUGUUACAAAUAGUAUGACCUCCAAAAUCAUAAGUAUUAGUAGAAAAAUAGUUAGUGAUGUGCUUUUCCUAAUUAUAUGAAAGUGAGGAUAAAUAUUAUAUAAUUAGUACGCCUUCUCGUGCAUCGCGAUACACGAACUAAAGUGAUUGUUGGCCAAUAUUUUAAUCCAAAGAAAAUUUGGUGACGGUCGCCGAAGAGAAAUAAACUCGAAGAAAUAAAAUGUGAACGUCAAUGGGGGAAGUUGUGGAUAUAAACAAAAGGUGUGUUGAUAAUUAUUGUUUACGAUUAUCUUAGAUAAAUAAAAAUAACAUAAGUAAGAUUUUAGGAUAUCUCAAGACCUUCAUAAAUACUAUUACGUGAGCUAAUAUCCCAUUACAAGGGUGGGACUAAAAAAAUUCAAAUAAUGAAAAUAAAAAUAUCCAUACAUCUUAUCAAUUAUGAAAUGUAAAUUAACAUUGUCCAACUAUAUGAAAUUAAAUGAAUGUAUGUAUGUAUCUCUUGUGAUAUUUUGAGUACUUAACGUGAUCUUUCAAAACUUGUUGAACCUAUAAUGGUUAUUAGAUUCAAUAAAUCUAUGAAGCCACAUUUUGGUCACCCACAAUUUAGUUGAAUAGAAAAAAUUUCAAUUAAUUUAAUAGAAUUUAGUUGUUUUAUUGUAUUAUCUAUAUUGUAGUUAUUUUUUUGUCAUCUUUUAUUUUUAAUUUAUUUUUUAAUAAAACUAAAAAAGUUACAAAAAAUUAUAAAAACUACAAUGUAGAGAAUAUAAUAAAAUAACUAAAUUUUAUUUUUAUUUUAAAAAAUAAGUUAAAUAAAUUAAUAUUUUUUCUAUUUAAGUUAAAUUAUUAGUAUAAAGACAAGACCAUACCUUUCAAAUUGUUCCAACUAAGGUAUAAUUCCUCAAGCUGUGUGAUGUUCCCAAUUUCUCGAGGGACAUUUCCACCAAAGUUGUUCCUUGACAAGUAAAUAAUCUCAAGUUGUGUACAUUGACCCAAACUCAAUGGUAUAUCUCCCUCCAAUUUGUUCGCCCACAGGCUAAGUACUUUGAGUCUUUGUAGGUUGUUAUGCGAGCAAAUGUCUUUUGGUAGGCGGCCUGAUAUAAAGUGAAUGAGUUAAAGUGAUUGUUGGCCAAUAUGUUAAUCCAAAGAAAAUUUGGUGACUGUCGGCGAAGAGAAAUAAACUCAAAGAGAAAACAAUGCAAAGCUUGAAAACAAAGCAUGAAAUUGAAUGACGUUAUAUAUCAUCAAUUGAUUUCGAGAUUAUCAGUUAAAUUAUUAGUAUAAAGAUAAGACCAUACCUUUCAAAUUGUUUCCAUCAAGGUAUAAUUCCUUAAGCUGUGUGAUGUUCCCAAUUUCUCGAGGGACAUUUCCACCAAAGUUGUUCCUUGACAAGUAAAUAAUCUCAAGUUGUGUACAUUGACCCAAACUCAAUGGUAUAUCUCCCUCCAAUUUGUUCGCCCACAGGCUAAGUAGUUUGAGUCUUUGAAGGUUGUUAUGCGAGCAAAUGUCUUUUGGUAGACGGCCUGAUAAAGUAUUAUGCUAUAAAAUACACCCUCCGUACGCAAAAAAAUAUAUAUAUACCUAAAUAGCUUCGGCACAAAUUUUAAGAAUUUUGUUAAGUGUAUUGUGACUAAAUUUUACAAACUCCAGACGAUAUAAUCUCACAAAUCAGCUUAGAUAAUAGCAUUACGGAAAAUAAUACUAUAACUUAAUUUAAAUUACAAUUUAAAAUAAUUCCACGUCAAAAUACUCACUAGUUUUUUAUAGUUGGAGACUAUAAUAUACCAAAUCUAGAUUUAGGUGUAUGCCCGAUUUUAUUGUUAGAUUGAGCAUCUGAAUAAAGAAUUAGUAUUAAUAAAGUUGAAAGUAAAAUGAGAAAAGAAUAAAUAAAUUGCUUAUAUACAUCAUGUUACUGAGGAACUGCAGAAUAUCAUUACGUUUAAACCGAAUAACAUUAUCAACCAAUUUCUGGAUUAUCAAUAGAAAUGAAAUGGUAAGGUAUCAAACUUGUUAAAUUCUCAGUAUAGAGAUAAGAACAUACCUCUCAAAUUGUUGGAACUAAGGUCUAAUACCUUAAGCAGUGUGAUAUUCCAAAUUUGUGCAGGCACAUAUCCACUAAAGUUGUUGCUUGACAAGCCAAUACUCUCAAGUUGUGGACAUUGGUACAAACUCGAUGGUAUAUCUCCUUGCAAUUUGUUAGACGACAAGUCAAGUAGUUUGAGUCUUUGAAGAUUGUUGUGCAUGCAAAUGUCCUUUGGUAGCCGACCUGAUAGGAUUACCAUAUAAAUAAAUAGAUUCUACUAACUACAAAUUUAAAAAUGGAUGAAGAAUACAACCAUGAAGAGAGUUUCCACUCAUAUCAAGAUAAGCGAGUGAAGAAAGAUUUCCAAUUUCCUGUGGAAUGCUUCCUUCGAGUUCCAUAUAAGAGAGAUCUAAUUCAGUCACCCUGCUACGACGCGAAUCACAAGUAACUCCUAUCCAUGUGCAAAACGAGGUUCCACUUGUCCAAUUAUUUUUCAAAAUAUUGGAAGGAUCCGAAGUGAUGUGGGAUUUGAAGGCAAGAAGUAUAUAUUCAUCACUUUUGAUUUGAGUUAUGUUGUGU
RNAcentral lists this long non-coding RNA (14889 nucleotides) under Salvia miltiorrhiza (redroot sage). RNAcentral describes it as "long non-coding RNA (SMIL_LNC011254)". Lineage: Eukaryota; Viridiplantae; Streptophyta; Magnoliopsida; Lamiales; Lamiaceae. The record is from RNAcentral.